AUUAGAUACCCUGGUAGUCCACGCCGUAAACGAUGUCGAUUUGGAGGUUGUGCCCUUGAGGCGUGGCUUCCGGAGCUAACGCGUUAAAUCGACCGCCUGGGGAGUACGGCCGCAAGGUUAAAACUCAAAUGAAUUGACGGGGGCCCGCACAAGCGGUGGAGCAUGUGGUUUAAUUCGAUGCAACGCGAAGAACCUUACCUGGUCUUGACAUCCACAGAACUUUCCAGAGAUGGAUUGGUGCCUUCGGGAACUGUGAGACAGGUGCUGCAUGGCUGUCGUCAGCUCGUGUUGUGAAAUGUUGGGUUAAGUCCCGCAACGAGCGCAACCCUUAUCCUUUGUUGCCAGCGGUCCGGCCGGGAACUCAAAGGAGACUGCCAGUGAUAAACUGGAGGAAGGUGGGGAUGACGUCAAGUCAUCAUGGCCCUUACGACCAGGGCUACACACGUGCUACAAUGGCAUAUACAAAGAGAAGCGACCUCGCGAGAGCAAGCGGACCUCAUAAAGUAUGUCGUAGUCCGGAUUGGAGUCUGCAA
RNAcentral lists this ribosomal RNA (533 nucleotides) under Klebsiella pneumoniae. RNAcentral describes it as "bacterial SSU rRNA". It matches the Rfam family "Bacterial small subunit ribosomal RNA", at positions 777 to 1310 of the family's 1533-position model. Lineage: Bacteria; Pseudomonadati; Pseudomonadota; Gammaproteobacteria; Enterobacterales; Enterobacteriaceae. The record is from RNAcentral.